AUCAACAACAGAGGAGCUUCAGGGUGGUAUGUACUGUCAUUCUUAGAGAAGAGCUGAAAAAAAAAUAUGCUGGAGCCAAAGCGGAACAAAUAAUGUGCAGAGGUGGGUGCUUACUAGUAUUUAUUCAACAUUUUUGUUAGCUAAACCAAAUCAUAACCCAUGUUUGUCUUUUUAAGGGGGAAAUAAUAAGGGCAUCAUAAAACUGGAGUAAACAGUUAUUAUUGCCUAAGGAACGGGAUCUGUGGUCUGGAAGACACCAUGGCCUGGCAAGAACAUCACAUUCUCCGCGUGUUGCUGGACAGCUCAAGGGUCCUGCUCUGCUGUCCCCAUCUGACACCACAGCUCAGGCCAUUGUGCUGACAUGGGCUCCAUUCACCCCAGACGCCAAAGACACUGAACACACAUCCUUCUGGAGUCCAAAGAGAUUUCCUGUUUCCCUGCUCUGUUUAGUUUCGGUUUCCUGGAUUACUGAUUAUGUUCUCAUUUGUUUCUAUGGUUACUUAUAAUUUGCGCCUGUCUUUCAUUAUUUUCACCUUGUGUUAUACUCUCUGUUAUAUUCAGUCCCUUGUCAGUUCUAGUUUAUUAGUUAAAGUUGUUAGCGUGUAUUCCUAUGUGAGUUCCUGUGUUUGUUGGUUUCAAAUAAAAACUGUUCUAUUGUACCUAGUGUGCUAUAUAAUGAAAUGCGACUUGACUUGAUCUUUUUUUAAAAAGCAAGUAAGCUGUUUUUGCACAACAUCAAGUUAAUGGCAUGUGAAUACCCUAGUAAAUGCAACCAGAAAUUUUCUCUAAGCCCAAACCUGCUGCUUUUUAUUGCCACACAUGAGAAAACAUCUUGAUGUAAUUGUUCCUAUAAAACAUGACUGAUAGGUUUCUUUCAGUAUGAUAAUGAGAGUUUAAUGGCAUCUACCCAUAAAGAAGGUCUGAAAACGAAUAA
Long non-coding RNA from Megalobrama amblycephala (Wuchang bream), 934 nucleotides. RefSeq lists it as uncharacterized. The transcript has 3 exons. NCBI's taxonomy places the organism in Eukaryota, Metazoa, Chordata, Actinopteri, Cypriniformes, Xenocyprididae. The record is from RefSeq and is a predicted model, not a curated record.